UACGGAGGGUGCAAGCGUUAAUCGGAAUUACUGGGCGUAAAGCGCACGCAGGCGGUCUGUCAAGUCGGAUGUGAAAUCCCCGGGCUCAACCUGGGAACUGCAUUCGAAACUGGCAGGCUAGAGUCUUGUAGAGGGGGGUAGAAUUCCAGGUGUAGCGGUGAAAUGCGUAGAGAUCUGGAGGAAUACCGGUGGCGAAGGCGGCCCCCUGGACAAAGACUGACGCUCAGGUGCGAAAGCGUGGGGAGCAAACAGGAUUAGAUACCCUGGUAGUCCACGCCGUAAACGAUGUCGACUUGGAGGUUGUGCCCUUGAGGCGUGGCUUCCGGAGCUAACGCGUUAAGUCGACCGCCUGGGGAGUACGGCCGCAAGGUUAAAACUCAAAUGAAUUGACGGGGGCCCGCACAAGCGGUGGAGCAUGUGGUUUAAUUCGAUGCAACGCGAAGAACCUUACCUACUCUUGACAUCCAGAGAACUUAGCAGAGAUGCUUUGGUGCCUUCGGGAACUCUGAGACAGGUGCUGCAUGGCUGUCGUCAGCUCGUGUUGUGAAAUGUUGGGUUAAGUCCCGCAACGAGCGCACCCUUAUCCUUUGUUGCCAGCGGUUAGGCCGGGAACUCNAAGGAGACUGCCAGUGAUAAACUGGAGGAAGGUGGGGAAUGACGUCAAGUCAUCAUGGCCCUUACGAGUAGGGCUACCACGUGCUACAAUGGCGCAUACAAAGAGAAGCGACCUCGCGAGA
This 737-nucleotide ribosomal RNA is filed under the name uncultured bacterium. RNAcentral's name for it is "bacterial SSU rRNA". It matches the Rfam family "Bacterial small subunit ribosomal RNA", at positions 524 to 1262 of the family's 1533-position model. The record is from RNAcentral.